RNAcentral lists this ribosomal RNA (441 nucleotides) under uncultured bacterium. RNAcentral describes it as "partial 16S ribosomal RNA". It matches the Rfam family "Bacterial small subunit ribosomal RNA", at positions 338 to 795 of the family's 1533-position model. The record is from RNAcentral.
CCUACGGGUGGCAGCAGUGGGGAAUAUUGCACAAUGGGCGAAAGCCUGAUGCAGCAACGCCGCGUGAAGGAAGAAGGCCUUCGGGUCGUAAACUUCUGUCCUUGGGGAAGAAGAACGGACGGUACCCAAGGAGGAAGCCCCGGCUAACUACGUGACAGCAGCCGCGGUAAUACGUAGGGGGCAGGGGUUAUCCGGAAUAAUUGGGCGAAAAGAGUACGUUGGUGGCAACCUAAGCGCAGGGUUUAAGGCAAUGGCUCAACCAUUGUUCGCACUGCGAACUGGGAUGCUUGAGUGCAGGAGAGGAAAGCGGAAUUCCUGGUGUAGCGGUGAAAUGCGUAGAUAUUACGAGGAACACCAAUGGCGAAGGCGGCUUUCUGGACUGUAACUGACACUGAGGUACGAAAGCGUGGGGAGCAAACAGGAUUAGAUACCCGAGUAGUC